CCUACGGGAGGCUGCAGUGAGGAAUAUUGGUCAAUGGACGAGAGUCUGAACCAGCCAAGUAGCGUGAAGGAGGACGGCCCUAUGGGUUGUAGACUUCUUUUAUAUGGGAAUAAAAUGCUCCACGUGUAGGAUUCUGUAUGUACCCUAUGAAUAAGGAUCGGCUAACUCCGUGCCAGCAGCCGCGGUAAUACGGAGGAUCCGAGCGUUACCCGGAUUUACUGGGUUUAAAGGGAGCGUAGGUGGAUUAGUAAGUCAGUUGUGAAAGUUUGCGGCUCAACCGUAAAAUUGCAGUUGAAACUGGCAGUCUAGAGUACAGUAGAGGUAGGUGGAAUUCGUGGUGUAGCGGUAAAAUGCUUAGAUAUCACGAAGAACUCCGAUUGCGAAGGCGGCUCACUGGACUGCAACUGACGCUGAGGCUCGAAAGUGUGGGUAUCAAACAGGAUUAGAUACCCUUGUAGUC
RNAcentral lists this ribosomal RNA (460 nucleotides) under uncultured bacterium. RNAcentral's name for it is "partial 16S ribosomal RNA". It matches the Rfam family "Bacterial small subunit ribosomal RNA", at positions 338 to 795 of the family's 1533-position model. The record is from RNAcentral.